GGCCAGACUCCUACGGGAGGCAGCAGUGGGGAAUCUUCCGCAAUGGGCGAAAGCCUGACGGAGCAACGCCGCGUGAUCGAAUGAAGGCCUUCGGGUUGUAAAGAUCUGUUGACAGGGACGAAUAAGCAAUGCGAAUAGUUUUGUGUAUGACGGUACCUGUUUAGAAAGCUCCGGCUAACUACGUGCCAGCAGCCGCGGUAAUACGUAGGGAGCAAGCGUUGUCCGGAAUUACUGGGCGUAAAGGGCGCGUAGGUGGGCGCUUAAGUCAGGUGUGAAAACUCCGGGCUCAACCUGGAGACUGCACUUGAAACUGGGUGUCUUGAGGGCAGGAGAGGAAAGUGGAAUUCCUAGUGUAGCGGUGAAAUGCGUAGAUAUUACACAGAACACCGAUUGCGAAGGCAGCUUGCUAGGCCGGAUCUGACACUGAUGCACGAAAGCGUGGGGAUCGAACAGGAUUAGAUACCCGCGUAC
Molecule: ribosomal RNA, 471 nt
Filed under: uncultured bacterium
Lineage: Bacteria
Description: bacterial SSU rRNA
Rfam family: Bacterial small subunit ribosomal RNA
Source: RNAcentral